GGGCCCAAAUAGAGGGCUUAUCAGAAUCCGCCCGUUGCUUUUGAGAAGUGAGAAUUCCUGUGGUUGUUUCCGUUGGUGGCGGAGGGGAAUGAAUGAUGGUGCCUGUGGUCUGUCCCUGUGAUCUGAGGUGUAGCCGAGUUGGAAGCAAGGCCUUGUUUAGUUGGGGAAUUUGGGAGGUGCCAAAUUACUGUUACAGCACUGUAGCACACUGUAGCGUUUCGUUUGUAUUUGUGAAUUAUUGUCCAAAUAUUGACUAAUUAGGCUCAAAAGAUUCGUCUCGCAAAGUACAACAAAACUGUGCAAUUAGUUUUUAAUUUCAUCUACAUUUAGUACUCCAUGCAUGUACCGCAAGUUUGAUGUGAUGGGGAAUCUUCUUUUUGCAUAGUGUCAAAGUUGGGAGUUGGGAGUAACUAAACAUGACCCAAGAUUGAUACGGUUGGCAGCGAGCGGCCCUGAAAUUCCUGCGCAGACUUCUCUGUCCUGUUGAAGA
RNAcentral lists this long non-coding RNA (490 nucleotides) under Setaria viridis. RNAcentral's name for it is "long non-coding RNA (SVIR_LNC008555)". The record is from RNAcentral. Lineage: Eukaryota; Viridiplantae; Streptophyta; Magnoliopsida; Poales; Poaceae.